RNAcentral lists this ribosomal RNA (251 nucleotides) under uncultured bacterium. RNAcentral describes it as "partial 16S ribosomal RNA". It matches the Rfam family "Bacterial small subunit ribosomal RNA", at positions 57 to 305 of the family's 1533-position model. The record is from RNAcentral.
GCAAGUCGAGGGGUAACAGGGAUUGCUUGCAAUCCGCUGACGACCGGCGCACGCGUGCGUAACGCGUAUACAAUCUACCUUACACUGAGGGCUAGCCUUUGGAAACGGAGAUUAACACCUCAUAGUAUGUUUAGUUCACAUGGACAUAACAAUAAAGGUUACGGUGUAAGAUGAGUAUGCGUUCUAUUAGCUAGAUGGUGUGGUAACGGCACACCAGGGCAACGAUAGAUAGGGGGCCUGAGAGGGGGAUC